CCUACGGGAGGCAGCAGUGGGGAAUCUUAGACAAUGGGGGAAACCUUGAUCUAGCCAUGCCGCGUGAUCGAUGAAGGCCUUAGGGUUGUAAAGAUCUUUCAGAUGGGAAGAUAAUGACGGUACCAUCAGAAGAAGCCCCGGCUAACUCCGUGCCAGCAGCCGCGGUAAU
Molecule: ribosomal RNA, 169 nt
Filed under: uncultured bacterium
Lineage: Bacteria
Description: partial 16S ribosomal RNA
Rfam family: Bacterial small subunit ribosomal RNA
Source: RNAcentral